CCCAGGGACUUUGUGAGAUCUCCAAAAGCCCAAAUAAAUAAAGUUUUUGGAGCUUCUGAAAUGUUACUUUUAAGGACGUGGAGAGAAGGUGGCUACCUGCAAACCGGGAAGAGAACUCUCACCAGAAACUGAACACCGCCAGAAAGUGAAUUCCCAGCCACCAGAAAUGUGAGAAGAUACAUUUCUUUGUUUAAUCUAUCCAGUCUAUUGUAUUUACAGCCUGAGCAGACUAAGACAACUAGUAAUACAAUGUGUCUAUU
RNAcentral lists this long non-coding RNA (260 nucleotides) under Sus scrofa (pig). RNAcentral's name for it is "lncRNA (ENSSSCG00030045523.1)". The record is from RNAcentral. Lineage: Eukaryota; Metazoa; Chordata; Mammalia; Artiodactyla; Suidae.